RNAcentral lists this ribosomal RNA (1951 nucleotides) under Rhodobacter sp. BACL10 MAG-120419-bin15. RNAcentral describes it as "bacterial LSU rRNA". It matches the Rfam family "Bacterial large subunit ribosomal RNA", at positions 1 to 2007 of the family's 2925-position model. The record is from RNAcentral. Lineage: Bacteria; Pseudomonadati; Pseudomonadota; Alphaproteobacteria; Rhodobacterales.
GAUCAAAUCAAGCGCGAAAAGGGCGAUUGGUGGAUGCCUUGGCAGUAAGAGGCGAUGAAGGACGUGAUACCCUGCGUUAAGCCAUGGGGAGCCGGGAAUAGGCUUUGAUCCAUGGAUGUCCGAAUGGGGGAACCCACCUGAAAUUCUGUUGUUGUUAUCUACUGGCUGUUUACAGUCAGUGGGUGAUCAUCAACGGGGUUAGACAGGUACUUAUCUCUGAAUAAAAUAGGGGAAUAAGAGCAAACCCGGGGAACUGAAACAUCUAAGUACCCGGAGGAAAGGAAAUCAAGAGAGACUCCGUUAGUAGUGGCGAGCGAACGCGGACCAGCCGAGCCUGGAAGAGUGACUGGAAUGGUCUGGAAAGGCCAGCAAUAUAGGGUGACAGCCCCGUACAGGAAGCUCCAUGGGACAUAUUAAGUAAGGCGGGACACGUGAAAUCCUGUCUGAAGAUCGGGGGACCACCCCCGAAGGCUAAGUACUCCUUACUGACCGAUAGCGAACCAGUACCGUGAGGGAAAGGUGAAAAGCACCCCGACGAGGGGAGUGAAACAGUACCUGAAACCGGUCGCCUACAAGCAGUCGGAGGGACCAUGAGUCCUGACGGCGUACCUUUUGUAUAAUGGGUCAACGACUUGGUCUUACUAGCAAGCUUAAGCCGAUAGGUGUAGGCGCAGCGAAAGCGAGUCUUAAAUGGGCGAAUGAGUUAGUGGGAUCAGACCCGAAACCAGGUGAUCUAGCCAUGAGCAGGAUGAAGGUAAGGUAACACUUACUGGAGGUCCGAACCAACACCCGUUGAAAAGGGUCUGGAUGACUUGUGGCUAGGGGUGAAAGGCCAAUCAAACCUGGAGAUAGCUGGUUCUCCGCGAAAGCUAUUUAGGUAGCGCCUCGGACGAAUACCUUGGGGGGUAGAGCACUACAUGGAUGAUGGGGGCCCACAGCCUUACUGAGUCUAAGUAAACUCCGAAUACCCAAGAGUACUAUCCGGGAGACACACGGCGGGUGCUAACGUCCGUCGUGAAGAGGGAAACAACCCUGACCUGCAGCUAAGGCCCCUAAUUCGUGGUUAAGUGGGAAAGCAUGUGGGACGGCCAAAACAACCAGGAGGUUGGCUUAGAAGCAGCCAUCCUUUAAAGAUAGCGUAACAGCUCACUGGUCUAGAUAAGCUGUCCUGCGGCGACAAUGUAACGGGGCUCAAACCACGAGCCGAAGCUCAGGAUGUGUAGCAAUACACGUGGUAGCGGAGCGUUCUGUGAUAUAGGACGCUGUGUCUUUAGCAUCUUAGGAUGUUACGGACACAAUGUGCUUUCUGUGAAGCCGGGCUGUAAGGCAUCCGGUGGAGAGAUCAGAAGCGAGAAUGUUGACAUGAGUAGCGACAAACAGGGUGAGAGACCCUGUCGCCGAAAGUCCAAGGGUUCCUGCUUAAAGCUAAUCUGAGCAGGGUAAGCCGGCCCCUAAGGCGAGGCCGAAAGGCGUAGUCGAUGGGAACCACGUUAAUAUUCGUGGGCCAGAAGGAAGUGACGGAUCUCGAGGAUUGUCUGCCCUUAUCGGAUUGGGUGGGCCGUUUAGAGGUUCCUGGAAAUAGCCCUUCAUGAGACCGUACCCUAAACCGACACAGGUGGACUGGUAGAGUAUACCAAGGCGCUUGAGAGAACUACAUCAAAGGAACUCGGCAAAAUGCCUCCGUAAGUUCGCGAGAAGGAGGCCCCACUUUUACGCAAGUAGAGGUGGGGGGCACAAACUAGGGGGUGGCGACUGUUUACUUAAAACACAGGGCUCUGCGAAGUCGUAAGACGACGUAUAGGGUCUGACGCCUGCCCGGUGCUGGAAGGUUAAAAGGAGGGGUGCAAGCUCUGAAUUGAAGCCCCAGUAAACGGCGGCCGUAACUAUAACGGUCCUAAGGUAGCGAAAUUCCUUGUCGGGUAAGUUCCGACCUGCACGAAUGGCGUAACGA